GCGCUUCCUGCGGGUUUAGCAGCCCUUCAGAGUUAGCAAGGUGGAUUAUUUUGUGCGUUUACCGUCUUACGCGGACCCUCUGACUUGACAAACUGAGAACAGGGAAGGAACAGCUAAUUGGCCGGCCAUGAAGAACUGAGGAGGCCGACCUAUACCUCAAGUCUCUAUGAUGUCUUUUCAAGACAUUUAAGAAGCAUCAGCUAUUUUUCAAGCAUUGGAGGUACAGAGAUGAGCAAGUGCUGGCCCUCAAGAAGAAUAUAAUAUCAGGACAGAGAUCUCCCCAGAGAAGUGUCUUUCCUUGCUAUUAGGUGAUUCAAAAUUGGGAGAAGAGGGAGGACUGAAAGGAGGAGAGGCUCUUUGUCUAUGGGGCAGGAGUUUAAGGUGAAAGAAUGCAGAGAGAUAAAUGUGCCUGGAGUCUUAAGAAAACUGAUGAUUGAUCUACUAAAUGGAUGAAAGAAUUUAUUCACAUAAAAAUCCUGCCUUUGAAACUAAGGCACAUGGACACACCCUUUAAGCCAGGAUUUCAAUGAAAAAACCUAGCCAAUCCAGUUUUAACAUUGUCAUUGGUGGUGUUAACAUGGAGACAGUCGCCUUCUUGUUGCUCAAUAGGAUGAGGAAACUGAAACUUGGAUACCUACCCAUUAUGGACUCAGGAACACUUAGGAAAGGCCACACGAGAACUCAGUCAGAAGGCAGGCACCUGCAAGGCAAGAAGAGAGGCUUCACCAGAAACCAACCCUGACAGCACAUUGAUUUUGGACUUCUAACCUUCCAGAACUGUGAGAAAAUAAAUUUCUGUUAUGUCACCUAGUCAGUGGUAUUCUGUAUGGCAGCCCAAGCAAACUAAGACAGGCACUCUUUCUUGCUUAGUGAUUUCCAAGUAUUUCAUAUGCAUUGUCUCUUUUAAUCUUCAUAAUAAACCCUGUGAGUUAGGCACUAUUAUUAUCCUCAUUCUAAACAUGAGGAAACUGAGACAUAGAAGGGUUAUGUAACUUGCCCAGAGUCACACACUGUGUCAGACCUCUCUGACUCCAGAUUGUAUUAGAAUAAGUAAAUGAAAAUAAAUAUCUUUAAGAUAUAUCAAGGCUUAAAAUUUUAAAUAUUAUGGCUCACAUGUGUCAUUUAUUCCUUCCAUUGAUAUUCUUGGAUUUUUGUCAGUUGUGCUAAAUUGAACUUAACUUGCGUUAGUAAUCUCAACCUAAAUUAACCAACGUAAUGAGCUCAUAAUGCUCACAUUUAAUCAAUACCCACUAGGGAACAGUUAUAUUAUCAUUUUUCUCACACUGUUUUGCCUUUAGGGGUGGUAUAAUCUGUUAUUGAGUAUAAAGUAGUAGGUGGAUUUAAAUCUUUUUAUUAAGCAAUGCUGUCAAGUACUACAGUUAUAGCUGCAAAUCUUGACUCAUCUGGUGGGAAAUGUGCUCUGGAUUCUAAGUCUGUUCUUCUUUAGUGCGUAUAAUUUAAUGGGAGGAACAAGACGAUCACGAAAAAUGUCUUGAAAUAUCUAUUUUUAUUUAGUGUACCAUUUAUUUUCCAAGAAUACGAAUGAGUUAUAUAGUUUUCAUACGUGGAGAACCCAUGGAAAAUAGGAACUUUGAGAAUGUAAUCUAUUGGCAGGACACCAGAAUGGUGAUAUACCCAGACUUGGAGCUAUGCAAAUAUUGGCUCCAUUUAUAGUAUUACUACUUACAACUAGUGUAGCCCAGACAAGUUACUUAACCCCUCUCUACCUCAGUUUCAUCAUGUAUAAAGUGCAAUUAAUUAUCAACUUCCAAAGGUGAAUAUAAAAAUUAAAUGGAAUGAUGUUUAUAGAGAGCUCAGCAUUCUGCCUAGCAAAUAUUAAUACUACAUGUUCAAUAAAUGCUAGCCGUAGUCAUUGACAUCUGAAUCAGGUGGGGUUUUUCUCCCACAAUUUAUUUAUGUAGUCAUUCAGCAUCCUGGAAAAACUCCUGUUUGGCUCAUGGGUAUAAUCAAAACAGAUCCUGUGGGUACAUUCAAGGUACUUUCAAGCCAUCAGAAGGUAUAAUAUGAGAAGUGGGGGGGGGGGCAGGGGGAAACAGAGCUAGAAGUAGGAAAAAAAACAUUUUUCAAGAUGAAGAACUGUUAUUUUCUAGCUCCCAAGAGACUUUGCAACAAUAAACAGCAAAAAGUAGGAGAUGAUUACACUUUACACAAGAGACAGCUAUUUAUAAAGGAGUUUUAAAUGAUACACAACAAACACUAUUGGGUCCACCAACACAAUAGACAGGGGUGCAAGCUGGUCUGUAGUUAAUGCAGAUGCCUUAGGAAAUACCACAGAAAGUCACUAGAAUGAGCUUGAACCCCAGUUACAUAGACCCAGGCGUUAGACUAGCACCAGCUAAAGGCCUGGGAAGCCCCAGGCUUAACUAACAGAAAUUGGUCAAGUAGCAAACACAUGUAAGCCGUGACCCUCAGCGUGGCUGCUGUUGUCCAAAAGACCCCAGGUUGCCCUGACAUCAAAUCAUCACCCCGGUGACCCCAGUGGGAGAGGACAGACUGGUGAAAGUCUUCGAAGGAUAAGGUCAGAAAAGCCUAGCUUUGACUUAGGUUAUGUGGCAAUGACAGUUAACUAAUCCCCAAAAUCUGUUUCCCCUUCAUGGUCUGGAGUUGUGGCAACAUAGGUUGUGCAGCCAGGAAGAUAAUUUCUUAGCCAGGAAGAUAAUUGCAUCUUGGCAAUGCGAUGUAGCUGAGUUCUAGCUAACGGGGGGUGGGGGGGUUGGGUAUGAGUAGAAGUGAUGUGUGCUACUUCUAGGCCCACUCGUAAAACCUCCCACACUUUCCCUAUUCUCCUCCAGCCACCAGACAAAAAAAACCACUAUGAUGACCUUGGAAACUAAAUGCUAAAGAUUGCAGAAACUCCAGAUAUCAAUACCUGGGUCCCUGAAUGAUGAGGAACACCCCCUCCUCCCCACUCCCCAUUUGCCUUAAACAACUCAGAACAUUUUAUGGGCAAGAAACAAACUUCCAUUGUGUGUGAACCCUUACACAUUUUAGUGCCUGCUUGUUAUAGCAGCUAGCGUUAUCCUAACUAGCACAAGUUAUAAAUAUUUGGCAUGUGAAUAUUGCUAGAUAGAGAGAGCACAGGGAUUUAAACACUUUUUCUGUUCUGUGUUCUGUUUUCUUUUUCUAUUCUGAUCUUUGCCUUCAACUCCUCAAAGCCGUAAUUAGCAUUAGAAUAUUGCCACUUUAUUGAAAUGUAGUGGGAAUGAGUAAAAUGAUACCUGACCUACCACUCUGAGCUCCGUGGGGUAAAAAGUAUAGUAAAUUAAGUAUAGUAUAUACACAAUCAGGUUUUAAGGUACCUAUUAAACACAAAUCGAGUAGAAAUCAAGUUAUGUAAAACUUAAAAGUUAUCUAAAUCCCAAGCCACCCCAUUAUGUACAUAAGUGAGUGUGAACAGCAUUAUCUUGUAUAUUAAACAGGUAAAAUUAGGUUUAACUCCUCCUUGAGUUGCCUUAAUAACUAAGAAGAGUCAGUAACUAUGCAAAAACAAUCUCUUUCAUAGAAAUGUAAACCUUUGGGUUUGGUGUUAGACAUAUGUAAAUCUGUAUAAUCUUUCUGUCAAAGGUAGUGGCAACCUAACGGUGUUUCUGUGGUUGUUAGUCAGAGAUGGCAGUCACUAAUGGUGUCUCUAGCCUUUUGUGCUGAUUUUAAAGACUAGAAGUAUAUUUUGAGCAUAUUUCUAACUAAUUUGAUUUUAUAGUAGUAUCUGUUAAAGGUGAUCUUACAUUAUGUUUGAUCCAAGUUUCAUAAAGGAAGACAAACACAUGGUAGCUUAAAGUUAGGCUGAAGUUAGCCAAAAUUGGAAGAUGAAUUAUUCGUCACCUGAUGAUCUGAACUUAGGAAAAUCCCCAAUCCUAGAACUUUAGCUAAGUUUAGCACCAAGUUAUUCAAGAUGUAUCCCUUCAUGCCUAUAGUUUCUUUACACUGCCAUGAUUCAUUCAUUCACAAGUACUUACUGUGCCCCUGAACUUGAAGCUGGGAAUUCAAGAUGCCAAAGAUACAGUCUUUGUCCUCACAGAGACACAGUCUAAUAGAGAAGACAGUCAUAUAAAUAUGUGACCAUAAGGCACAGCAAUAUAUCUAAUACAGCUGUGCACAGUGUCUAAAUGCAUCCGAAGCUCCAUCAUUGGAUCAUAGAGUAUUAUGGGAUAGGAGCUAAGGGGAAAUGUUGUAUAUUUUGCCAUCUGUGCUGCAAAUUUAAUCUGAGACUCUAAGGUUGAUGAGUUCACCUCAACUGCCCAUUGUUCUGUUUCAACCUGACCAGCCAGCAUAACACUAUGGCCCUUUCUUAUGAUCUAGAAAUUUUAGAUGCUCAAGUGAAGAGGCUGCCAUCUUGAACUGGCCAAAAUUCAUGUCAUUCUCAGAAGUGAAAAGUCUUAUUUACAUGAUUUCUGGCCUUUGAUCCAUCACUCUACCAAAGUAUUAAAAGCCCAAUGUCCCCUCCUGUUUUUCUUUUACAUAUUCAUACUUGGGCCAGAAAAUAUUAGUGAGAAUAUAGAGGCACUGAAGUAAGUGGUAGCCAUCUGGCCUGGCCAACUUCUAAAAAAAAAAAAAUCCUGUAGAAGAUAAGGCCUUCUUUGGAUGACACCUGUGCCCCAGGGAAAUUGACAUAUUAUUAUGA
Long non-coding RNA from Aethalodelphis obliquidens (Pacific white-sided dolphin), 4642 nucleotides. RefSeq lists it as uncharacterized. The record is from RefSeq and is a predicted model, not a curated record. NCBI's taxonomy places the organism in Eukaryota, Metazoa, Chordata, Mammalia, Artiodactyla, Delphinidae. The transcript is spliced from 8 exons.